RNAcentral lists this ribosomal RNA (433 nucleotides) under uncultured bacterium. Its description in RNAcentral is "partial 16S ribosomal RNA". It matches the Rfam family "Bacterial small subunit ribosomal RNA", at positions 29 to 507 of the family's 1533-position model. The record is from RNAcentral.
AACGAACGCUGGCGGCAUGCCUAACACAUGCAAGUCGAACGAGACCUUCGGGUCUAGUGGCCCACGGGUGCGUAACGCGUGGGAACCUGCCCUUAGGUUCGGACUAACUCCCCGAAAGGGGUACUAAUACCGGAUAAUGGCUUCGGACCAAAGAUUUUUCGCCUUUGGAUGGGCCCGCGUUGGAUUAGCUAGUUGGUAGGGUAAAAGCAUACCAAGGCGACGAUCCAUAGAUGGUCUCAGAGGAUGGUCAGCCACACUGGGACUGAGACACGGCCCAGACUCCUACGGGAGGCAGCAGUGGGGAAUGUUGGACAGUCGGCGGAAGCAUGAACCAGUAAUGCCGGGUGAGUGAUGUAGGCCUUAGGGUUCUAAAGCUCAUUUACCCGGGAUGAUAAUGACAGUACCGGGAGAAUAAGCUCCGGCUAACUCCGUG